GACGAACGCUGGCGGCGUGCUUAACACAUGCAAGUCGAACGGUAAGGCCCUUCGGGGUACACGAGUGGCGAACGGGUGAGUAACACGUGGGUGAUCUGCCCUGCACUUCGGGAUAAGCCUGGGAAACUGGGUCUAAUACCGGAUAGGACUCCUGGCUUCAUGGUUGGGGGUGGGAAGCUUUUGCGGUGUGGGAUGGGCCCGCGGCCUAUCAGCUUGUUGGUGGGGUAAUGGCCUACCAAGGCGACGACGGGUAGCCGGCCUGAGAGGGUGACUGGUCACACUGGGACUGAGAUACGGCCCAGACUCCUACGGGAGGCAGCAGUGGGGAAUAUUGCACAAUGGGCGCAAGCCUGACCAUGCGACGCCGCGUGAUUGAUGAAGUCCUUCGGGACGUAAAGAUCUUUUAUGCGUGAGGAAGUUAUUGACGUUAGCGCAUGAAUAAGGGGCUCCUAACUCUGUGCCAGCAGCCGCCGUAA
Molecule: ribosomal RNA, 476 nt
Filed under: uncultured bacterium
Lineage: Bacteria
Description: partial 16S ribosomal RNA
Rfam family: Bacterial small subunit ribosomal RNA
Source: RNAcentral